UGCUAUGGCCAUGCCACCUGAACAUGCCUGAUCUCGUCUGAUCUCGGAAGCUAAGCAGAGUCAGGCCUGGUUAGUACUUGGAUGGGAGACCACUUAGGAAUACCGGGUGGUGUAGGCA
RNAcentral lists this ribosomal RNA (118 nucleotides) under Pteropus alecto (black flying fox). The record is from RNAcentral. Lineage: Eukaryota; Metazoa; Chordata; Mammalia; Chiroptera; Pteropodidae.